AUUCCAGCUCCAAUAGCGUAUAUUAAAGUUGUUGCAGUUAAAAAGCUCGUAGUUGAACCUUGGACAAAGUGCGCGUGGUCUACCGCAAGGUAUGACUGCGGCGCUGCGUCUCUUUAGGGGGACUCGAUGCUUCGGUGUCGAGGUAACCCGUGUUACUGUGAAGAAAUUAGAGUGUUUAAAGCAGGCUAUCGCUUGAAUACAUCAGCAUGGAAUAACAAGUUGGACUUUGCUCCUACUUGUUGGUUUGAGGGGAAAAGUAAUGAUUAAUAGGGCCAGUUGGGGGCAUUAGUAUUCAGUAGUCAGAGGUGAAAUUCUUGGAUUUACUGAAGACUAACUAGUGCGAAAGCAUUUGCCAAGGAUGUUUUCAUCA
This 370-nucleotide ribosomal RNA is filed under the name Rozellomycota sp. Its description in RNAcentral is "Cryptomycota sp. partial small subunit ribosomal RNA". It matches the Rfam family "Eukaryotic small subunit ribosomal RNA", at positions 582 to 975 of the family's 1831-position model. The record is from RNAcentral. Lineage: Eukaryota; Fungi; Rozellomycota.